UGGCUCAGGACGAACGCUGGCGGCGUGCCUAAUACAUGCAAGUAGAACGCUGAGGACUGGUGCUUGCACCGGUCCAAGGAGUUGCGAACGGGUGAGUAACGCGUAGGUAACCUACCUCAUAGCGGGGGAUAACUAUUGGAAACGAUAGCUAAUACCGCAUAAAAGUGUUUAACCCAUGUUAAACAUUUAAAAGGUGCAAUUGCAUCACUAUGAGAUGGACCUGCGUUGUAUUAGCUAGUUGGUGAGGUAACGGCUCACCAAGGCGACGAUACAUAGCCGACCUGAGAGGGUGAUCGGCCACACUGGGACUGAGACACGGCCCAGACUCCUACGGGAGGCAGCAGUAGGGAAUCUUCGGCAAUGGACGGAAGUCUGACCGAGCAACGCCGCGUGAGUGAAGAAGGUUUUCGGAUCGUAAAGCUCUGUUGUUAGAGAAGAAUGAUGGUGGGAGUGGAAAAUCCACCA
RNAcentral lists this ribosomal RNA (465 nucleotides) under Streptococcus dysgalactiae subsp. equisimilis. RNAcentral's name for it is "bacterial SSU rRNA". It matches the Rfam family "Bacterial small subunit ribosomal RNA", at positions 20 to 470 of the family's 1533-position model. Lineage: Bacteria; Bacillati; Bacillota; Bacilli; Lactobacillales; Streptococcaceae. The record is from RNAcentral.